UUCAUUAAACCUAUCAUUUAGAGAAGGAGAAGUCGUAACAAGGUUUCCGUAGGUGAACCUGCGGAAGGAUCAUUG
Molecule: ribosomal RNA, 75 nt
Filed under: Thysananthus convolutus
Lineage: Eukaryota; Viridiplantae; Streptophyta; Jungermanniopsida; Porellales; Lejeuneaceae
Description: partial 18S ribosomal RNA
Rfam family: Eukaryotic small subunit ribosomal RNA
Source: RNAcentral